RNAcentral lists this ribosomal RNA (253 nucleotides) under uncultured bacterium. Its description in RNAcentral is "partial 16S ribosomal RNA". It matches the Rfam family "Bacterial small subunit ribosomal RNA", at positions 524 to 776 of the family's 1533-position model. The record is from RNAcentral.
UACGGGGGGGGCAAGCGUUGUUCGGAAUUACUGGGCGUAAAGGGCUCGUAGGCGGCCAACUAAGUCAGACGUGAAAUCCCUCAGCUUAACUGGGGAACUGCGUCUGAUACUGGAUGGCUUGGAUUCGGGAGAGGAAUGCGGAAUUCCAGGUGUAGCGGUGAAAUGCGUAGAUAUCUGGAGGAACACCGGUGGCGAAGGCGGGUUGCUGGGCUGACACUGACGCUGAUGCGCGAAAGCCAGGGGAGCGAACGGG